GCUUAAGGUUGAGUGGUUGAGUCUCCUUCAUGUUGGUGGCGCUGUAGUGAAGAGGUGAUUGUGUCUUCAACCUUUUGUUUAGGAUUUUUGAGUGCAGAGGCUAGACAGAAGAGAUUAUUAUUUAGGCUGUAAUGUACCAAACUAAACUUUGGGCCUUCUUUUGAUAUUGUUUUAUGUUUCUGACUCAUUCAACGUAAGUGUAUCCUAUGGCCCUUAUUUAUGCAAA
RNAcentral lists this unclassified non-coding RNA (226 nucleotides) under Hevea brasiliensis (rubber tree). Lineage: Eukaryota; Viridiplantae; Streptophyta; Magnoliopsida; Malpighiales; Euphorbiaceae. The record is from RNAcentral.